CAACCUUCCGUUUACUCAGGGAUAGCCUUUCGAAAGAAAGAUUAAUACCUGAUAGUAUGGUGAGAUUGCAUGAUGGCACCAUUAAAGAUUUAUUGGUAAACGAUGGGGAUGCGUUCCAUUAGGUAGUAGGCGGGGUAACGGCCCACCUAGCCGACGAUGGAUAGGGGUACUGAGAGGAAGGUCCCCCACAUUGGAACUGAGACACGGUCCAAACUCCUACGGGAGGCAGCAGUGAGGAAUAUUGGUCAAUGGACGAGAGUCUGAACCAGCCAAGUAGCGUGAAGGAUGACUGCCCUAUGGGUUGUAAACUUCUUUUAUAUGGGAAUAAAGUAUUCCACGUGUGGGAUUUUGUAUGUACCAUAUGAAUAAGGGUCGGCUAACUCCGUGCCAGCAGCCGCGGUAAUACGGAGGAUCCGAGCGUUAUCCGGAUUUAUUGGGUUUAAAGGGAGCGUAGAUGGAUGUUUAAGUCAGUUGUGAAAGUUUGCGGCUCAACCGUAAAAUUGCAGUUGAUACUGGAUAUCUUGAGUGCAGUUGAGGCAGGCGGAAUUCGUGGUGUAGCGGUGAAAUGCUUAGAUAUCACGAAGAACUCCGAUUG
This 595-nucleotide ribosomal RNA is filed under the name uncultured Bacteroidota bacterium. Its description in RNAcentral is "bacterial SSU rRNA". It matches the Rfam family "Bacterial small subunit ribosomal RNA", at positions 122 to 715 of the family's 1533-position model. The record is from RNAcentral. Lineage: Bacteria; Pseudomonadati; Bacteroidota.